Molecule: ribosomal RNA, 2784 nt
Filed under: Triticum aestivum (bread wheat)
Lineage: Eukaryota; Viridiplantae; Streptophyta; Magnoliopsida; Poales; Poaceae
Description: partial small subunit ribosomal RNA
Source: RNAcentral
AUGGUGGAUUCCCCCGCUGCUCGUGAGAAGGUGGAGGAGGCGACCUCGCUGCCAGAAGAAUGGCUCAACCUCGCCAUUCUCUGCAAGGCAUUCGUUUCCAAGGCGAUGAACGGCCUGGGGACGCUGGCGACCAUCUGGGCGACUGUUGUCCUGCUCGGUGGAUUCGCGGUCCUCAUUAAAAAGCAGGACUUUUGGUACGUCACCAUCAUCGCUUUCGUCGAAUCAAUCGGGGUCCUGGGUGGUUACGAGGAUCCCACAUACCAAAUUUUCAUACGCACACCAGGAUUGCUGAUAGACGCUUUGAAGUCGGCAGAUAAGAAGGAGCAACAACCCAGUUUGUGGAGAAGAAGAAUCCAGCAUCAUCAACAACAACAACAAAACCAGUCUAGAGGCACGAGAAGAAACAGGCUGCAGGUUAGAAAACAUAAACAUUUUGAGGAGCUGACCAUGUCCAAAAGAUGCCUCGGGGUGGUCAUCCUUGUGGUCAUGCGGCUGGUCGAGAUCGCCGCUGUUGCCAUAUGCAUUGCCGUGUCCUUUGGGCGUCUCAAGAAGCAGGACUACGUGGACCCCAAGGACAGAGACGCGGCGGACCACCAGAACAUCAGGCUGUCCCUGAACAUCUUCUACGGGCUGGUGCUCGCGCAGAGCAUCAUCUUCAUCAUCAUGCGGCUGAGCCCGGAUUCGCUGUUAGGGUUCCACAUCAGAGUCAAGUAUAGAUUAUUUGGGUCGUCCGGCCGAGAAAUAAUGUACCGCUACCUGAGUGAUAACUACCUAGAGUUCAUCACUGGGAAUGUGCGCACCACCCUCAAGAUGAACCUCAUCACCUUCGCCAUGAAGUUGGUGGUGUCUGACUCCACUGUGGAUGACCAGUUGGUUGGGAUCCGAGCCAUGGACCGCAUCCUCAGAUCAGUGGAGUACAACAGCCUGGCCCUCACGAGGCUUCGAGCAUCUCUCGACGCAGACUCUUUGGGGAGGCUGGUCGGGGUGCUAGGCUUGGUUAGGACACCAGACGAAAAGGAAAUGAGAGGCCAUGCUGCAAGAGUAGUUCUCAAACUAGCUCCAGACAUUCCGGUCGACACUUGUCCUCAAGCCAUGUCUCUCAUCUCUUCUUCCCUGGUGGAGACGGCAAGCAACAUGGAUGUGGAUCUCGUCUGGUUUGGCUUGCGCAUCCUAGACAAGCUCACAGAUAACCAACAGAACUGUCGGCAGGCCAAGGGCGACCUCAGUGAUCUACUGCCCAAGAUCAUAGACCUCACCAACCUCAACCAGCGUGGGCGUGACAGAAGCAUCUCCGACUCUUGGAUUGAACAAGAGAUUAUUCCUCUGCUUGAAAGAGAAGAGGACAUCCCUCCCACUGCCAUACAGAUGAUUGACCAACAGAUUAUUGUUGGCAUGUCGCUCAAAAUCUUGAGCAAGCUGGUUGCCAAGCCUGGUGAUGUUGGGAAGGGCCUCAGGGAAAAGGCCUCAACAUAUCUGAACCUCCUGACCGACAGCGGGACAAUCUUGGAGCACGUGGGAGCAGCAAAAGUCAUAGCAUGCUUAGCACUGAGUGAAGAUCAAAAGCAAGAGAUUGGGGGAUCACCUCAGAUCAUAAGGAAGCUCAAGGAGUGUCUUCUCUCCAAGGAGCCACACGUAGAUAUCACCAAAGUGGCUGCCAAGUUAUUGCUUCUUGAGUACAGUACCAGGGAUCAGCUGAACCAGAUUAAGUCGUCCCUCGAGGAGAAGAAUGUUCUGCUGCAAGAUCCAAGCUUCUCUGUACCGACCACGGCCUUCAUAGGAGCACUUGGCCGGGAUCAAAUUUUGCCAUCAUGGAUGCAGAAGCAGCAGAUCGCCGUGCAAGAUCUUGAUCUGGAUGAUCUACUUUCAGCGGAGCAGGAGAGCCGCUGUGAGGCGGCUGCCAAAGCACUAAUUGUGCUAACUAGUGGAUGUGAAAAAAAUGCCGCGGCUGUCCUACAAGAGAUCGCUGAGAAUGAGAUGAAGACAAUAGUGGGGAUGCUCUUCCAGGAGGACCGAGAGGAGAAAAGGAGGAGGAUGCUGGCCCGCUUACAGGAACGCAAUCUUCACCCUGAAACGUCGCGGGUAGUCAAGAAGAUAAUAUGUGCUGAGGGUGGAGGGCGCACAAGAAGCCUGCAUGCAAAGCUCCUACAGAAUCUGCGUGCCCAUGGAGUGACAGCAAAUUCUACUCAUCACAUUCCAGUAAUAGACGGAGAACUGCCAGAGGUGCUAAAAGCCAUAGUUGAUGAGGUGGCCAAGUUGGAGCGUCCAGCAUGUACCAGUGAAAACUUAUCUCAUAAUGAUGGCCCUUGGGUUGAAUCGGGAAAGGUGCUUGAGAGUUUUAUAGGCCUCACAUUCCAGAUUUGCAAAGGCCUGGAUGCAAGUGGUUUUGCCAAAACACUAGAGGGUGCCAAUCUUACUCUGGACACAUUGGUCAUGAAGCUUAACAAAAUACUAGAAUUGUACAAGUAUCCAACUACCGAUUUUCCUAGCAUAAGGCGAUCUACACUAGAACUCAUGGCCUGGAUGGUACAAAAGAACAGCAACUACAGAGACAUAUUCCUACAAUGUGGAGUGUAUGAGCAGCUGAAAGAAGUGGCAAAGACUGCUGGAAGAGUUGAGAGAUUUGAGCUGUUCCACUGCGGUGUUGGGGUUGGUGGUAAGGACAUAUCAUACAUCCUUUCUCUUGUGAGUGAAUUAAAGGAACAGCUUGAGCUCUGCCCCCAUUUCGAACAAAGAUCACACUACUACGGGGCACAUGCAGGCACCUUAACUGUUUUGGUCGCCUAA